GAAACUACGUUACCAGGGGAAGAAGACAGCAUCACGGUUGAUAGUUCAUCUCCCAAAGAAAGAAUUGAACCGGCAGCUGACACGGGUGAGAAUGAUAUGCAGGACUAUUAUGAGAAGAUGCUCAAGAAGAACCCCACUGAUCCGUUGCUUCUGAAAAACUACGCCCGGUUCUUGCAACAGUCCAAAGUAGACUUCCAAGGAGCAGAGGAAUACUACUACCGUGGCAUUCAAGCCGACCCGAGCGAUGGGGAAAUGCUAUCAGAAUAUGCAAAAUUGGUGUGGGAGCUUCAUCAUGAC
This 297-nucleotide unclassified non-coding RNA is filed under the name Hevea brasiliensis (rubber tree). Lineage: Eukaryota; Viridiplantae; Streptophyta; Magnoliopsida; Malpighiales; Euphorbiaceae. The record is from RNAcentral.